UAAGCAUAUCAAUAAGCGGAGGAAAAGAAACCAACAGGGAUUGCCUCAGUAACGGCGAGUGAAGCGGCAACAGCUCAAAUUUGAAAUCUGGCCUCUUUGGGGUCCGAGUUGUAAUUUGUAGAGGAUGUUUCGGGUACCGCCUCGGUUUAAAUUUCUUGGAACAGAAUGUCAAAGAGGGUGAGAAUCCCGUCUUGGACCGGCGGUAGGGCCCAUGUGAAACUCCUUCGACGAGUCGAGUUGUUUGGGAAUGCAGCUCAAAAUGGGUGGUAAAUUUCAUCUAAAGCUAAAUAUUGGCCAGAGACCGAUAGCGCACAAGUAGAGUGAUCGAAAGAUGAAAAGCACUUUGAAAAGAGAGUUAAACAGUAUGUGAAAUUGUUGAAAGGGAAGCGCUUACAACCAGACUUGCGCGCGGCGGUUCCCCCUUCCUUUUGGUUGGGCUACUCCGUCGUGUCCAGGCCAACAUCGGUUCUGGGGGUCGGUUAAAGACCCUGGGAAUGUAUCUACCCUUCGGGCGUAGACUUAUAGCUCAGGGUGUCAUGCGACCUCCCGGGACCGAGGAACGCGCUUCGGCUCGGAUGUUGGCGUAAUGGUUGUCAGCGACCCGUCUUGAAACACGGACCAAGGAGUCUAACAUCUAUGCGAGUGUUUGGGUGUCAAACCCGGAACGCGAAAUGAAAGUGAACGGAGGUAGGAAGCCAUGAGGCUGCACUAUCGACCGAUCCUGAUGUCUUCGGAUGGAUUUGAGUAAGAGCAUAGCUGUUGGGACCCGAAAGAUGGUGAACUAUGCCUGAAUAGGGUGAAGCCAGAGGAAACUCUGGUGGAGGCUCGCAGCGGUUCUGACGUGCAAAUCGAUCGUCAAAUUUGGGUAUAGGGGCGAAAGACUAAUCGAACCAUCUGGUAGCUGGUUCCUGCCGAAGU
This 918-nucleotide ribosomal RNA is filed under the name Exophiala equina. RNAcentral describes it as "LSU rRNA". It matches the Rfam family "Eukaryotic large subunit ribosomal RNA", at positions 35 to 967 of the family's 3401-position model. The record is from RNAcentral. Lineage: Eukaryota; Fungi; Ascomycota; Eurotiomycetes; Chaetothyriales; Herpotrichiellaceae.